GACGAACGCUGGCGGCGUGCCUAAUACAUGCAAGUCGAACGCAGGGGGGACGGGUGAGUAACACGUGGGUAACCUACCAUCAGAGGGGAUAAAACUUGGAAACAGGUGCUAAACCGAUACGGGUGGAAGGACCCGGGGUGCAUUAGCUAGUUGGUGGGGUAACGGCCCACCAAGGCCACGAUGCCUAGCCGGCCUGAGAGGGGUCUCGGCCACACUGGAACUGAGACACGGCCCAGACUCCUACGGGAGGCAGCAGUAGGGAAUCUUCGGCAAUGGACGAAAGUCUGACCGAGCAACGCCGCGUGAGUGAAGAAGGUUUUCGGAUCGUAAAACUCUGUUGUUAGAGAAGCGGUAUCUAACCAGAAAGCCACGGCUAACUACGUGCCAGCAGCCGCGGUAAUUC
Molecule: ribosomal RNA, 403 nt
Filed under: uncultured bacterium
Lineage: Bacteria
Description: partial 16S ribosomal RNA
Rfam family: Bacterial small subunit ribosomal RNA
Source: RNAcentral